This is a long non-coding RNA of Armigeres subalbatus, 560 nucleotides long. RefSeq lists it as uncharacterized. The record is from RefSeq and is a predicted model, not a curated record. The transcript is spliced from 2 exons. Lineage: Eukaryota; Metazoa; Arthropoda; Insecta; Diptera; Culicidae.
AUUGAUUAACAAUCUUCAACGACAUGAUCUACUCACUACUUUAGGGUAUUUUUAGAUCUUAUUCACGCAAGUGAAUAGAUAGUCAAUCUUAAUUUGCAUACCAUCCCAUCGUUUGUUGUGCUUUCCAAUCGUUGAAUUUGUCUUUCUUUGCUAACAACAUUCUCGAUGUCUUUCGAGCCUAUCCAGAGAUACAAACGCGGGCUGUUUUCGAUCGCUCAUGUGACCACUCCCACCGAGGGUUCAGCUUUCGAACUGGCCCACAAGUUGAUCGAUCGAAGGAUGGCUGCCUGUGUCAGCAUUGUGCCAGGAGUUGUAUCCUUUUUCGAAUGGGAAGGUACCAUCGUUGAGCACCUGGAAAGCUUGCUGCUAGUCAAAACGCGGACCUCCCGAAUGGAGGAACUGUGCGAGUUCAUACGGGAAAACCAUCCGUACAGUGUGGCGGAAAUUGUGGUGGUGCCGAUUGAGAAUGGAAAUCCAGCGUAUUUGGCGUGGAUGUCUCGGAUGGUGAUGGAGUAGUAAAUUAUUCUUACAGCACUAUUAUGAUGUACUGUUCAAUAUAC